Molecule: ribosomal RNA, 386 nt
Filed under: uncultured microorganism
Description: bacterial SSU rRNA
Rfam family: Archaeal small subunit ribosomal RNA
Source: RNAcentral
GCGCACCAGGCGAGAAAACUUUACAAUGUGCGAAAGCACGAUAAGGGAACUCUGAGUGCCUCCUAAGGAGGCUGUUCAGGUGUCUAAAAAGCACCUGAAGGAAGGGCUGGGUAAGACCGGUGCCAGCCGCCGCGGUAAUACCGGCGGCCCGAGUGGUGGCCGCUAUUAUUGGGCCUAAAGCGUCCGUAGCCGGGCCCGUAAGUCCCUGGCGAAAUCCCACGGCUCAAACCGUGGGGCUUGCUGGGGAUACUGCGGGUCUUGGGGACCGGGAGAGGCGGGGGGUACCCCUGGGGUAGGGGUGAAAUCCUAGUAAGUCCCAGGGGGACCGCCAGUGGCGAAGGCGCCCCGCUGAACGGUCCGACGUGAGGGACGAAGGCCAGGGGAGC